GUGGAAAAGGAUGUGGCGUUGCCCAGACAACUAGGAUGUUGGCUUAGAAGCAGCCAUCAUUUAAAGAGUGCGUAAUAGCUCACUAGUCGAGUGACACUGCGCCGAAAAUGUACCGGGGCUAAACAUAUUACCGAAGCUGUGGAUUGUCCUUCGGACAAUGGUAGGAGAGCGUUCUAAGGGCGUUGAAGCAUGAUCGCAAGGACAUGUGGAGCGCUUAGAAGUGAGAAUGCCGGUGUGAGUAGCGAAAGACGGGUGAGAAUCCCGUCCACCGAUUGACUAAGGUUUCCAGAGGAAGGCUCGUCCGCUCUGGGUUAGUCGGGUCCUAAGCUGAGGCCGACAGGCGUAGGCGAUGGAUAACAGGUUGAUAUUCCUGUACCACCUAGUAUCGUUUUAAUCGAUGGGGGGACGCAGUAGGAUAGGCGAAGCGUGCUGUUGGAGUGCACGUCCAAGCAGUAAGGCUGAGUGUUAGGCAAAUCCGGCACUCGUUAGGCUGAGCUGUGAUGGGGAGAGGAAAUUGUUUCCUCGAGUCGUUGAUUUCACACUGCCGAGAAAAGCCUCUAGAUAGAUAACAGGUGCCCGUACCGCAAACCGACACAGGUAGUCAAGAUGAGAAUUCUAAGGUGAGCGAGCGAACUCUCGUUAAGGAACUCGGCAAAAUGACCCCGUAACUUCGGGAGAAGGGGUGCUCUUUAGGGUUCACGCCCAGAAGAGCCGCAGUGAA
This 721-nucleotide ribosomal RNA is filed under the name Listeria monocytogenes. Its description in RNAcentral is "partial 23S ribosomal RNA". It matches the Rfam family "Bacterial large subunit ribosomal RNA", at positions 1063 to 1786 of the family's 2925-position model. The record is from RNAcentral. Lineage: Bacteria; Bacillati; Bacillota; Bacilli; Caryophanales; Listeriaceae.